GAAGAGAACCCCGUUCACUCUGAUCCAGAGUGCACAUGUAGCACAUCUGUGGGCUUUUCCAUUUCCUAGCGAUGGUCGGAAAGCAGAGAUGAGAGAGGCCUGAGCAUCAGGAUCAGCUCAGGUGGGAUCAGUUGGGGCUGGGGCUCAGCUGGAGCUCAGCCCAGGUGCAGCCCAGGCCUGUGCUGACCCAGGCACCAGGCAAGGCUGGUCAGGGCCAUUAGGGCUCAGUGCUGCAGGUGGGAGCUGGCAGCCAUCUUGUUGUCUGUCGACGUGUGUAACCUUUGUUGAAAGCACAACCAUGGGUGUUUUGUGGGCUCUUCGUGAUGGUCUGUGCUAUGAGGACAGGUAUAGCUGGAAGUAAGGGGAGUGAAGAAGGACAGAGCGGCUGUGAACUGCACAAGAUGCAGAAAAAGACUGGACUGUAGUUUUACAGAUGGAGGAACUGAGGCUAAGAAAACUACAUGUCUUGUGAGGUGACAUAAGUGUUUAGUGACAGAAUUGCUCUUUCCUGCUCCUAUCUAAAGAGUUCCUCAAUGUGCAUCUCCCUGCGUUCUGAAUUAACUCCAGUUUCGCGGAACGGACGAACAAGUGUCUGCCUUGAGUCCGCUGCGGAGCUGGUGUGCUGGCUUCUCGACACCUCUUGCAUGAAUCACUGCCUCUGCCCUUUUUUUUCCAUUUGCCAUUUCUGGUCGUUUUUCCCUGUUCUGUCGAAUCCCAAGUGCCCCUGAAUGCAGCCCAUUGGUUUUGGGAUGUGGAGAGCCAUAUGUGCAGCCCCACUUCUCUAAGACGGCACUCGACUGGGCAGUGAAGCACGGCAAUCUUGAGAUGGCAGAGAUGGUCGCCAAAGCAGGCGUCGAUGUCAAUGCUAAAUCGUAUGUCACUUAUUUCAUUGUGACAGGGGUAAUGUAUUUGUAAACUGUGCUAUAAAUAUUGGAAUCUCAUAUUCAGACACCAGCAUAUCUCAUAUUCAGACACCAGCAUUUCUGAGCUAUGCUUUUUCAAAUGAAUUUAGAAUUGACAAAAAUUUUCAAAGCCAAAUUACUAGUGUGUCACUGUGAAAUUAGGUUCUUGACCCUGCUUCUGAUGUAUGCUUAUUUUUCUACACAUUUUCUCCUUCAAUUUUAUGCAUCACUAUUCACUGCUGGAAUUGGUGACAUGGCUUUCCCAAAAGGGGGUAAGUAAUACUUUAAUACACCUAUGAAAUGAGUCUGCCUUUUUCAUGAAUAUUCUGAAAGCAAGCUGUCACUGCAGUCAAUUGAUAUUCCUACGCUUCAUUGCAGAGAGGAGUGAACUUCUUAUGACAGGGCAUAUCUUGGCAAACUUUAUUUCAUCUCUGUGACACUUUCAAAUUUCAUUAUUCUGACUUAAGUGUAUUUUCUAUUAUUUUAAGUACAUUCCAUUUGUGAUUAAAGUGUUUUAUGGAUAAACCAAAAAAGCUGCCAGAGAGCUUGUAUGAAGAGCUUUAAUCAAAACUUGUCCUGAGACCUGUAAACUCCCAGUGAAAUUGGCCGGGGACUAGACACAGAGAAAUGCCUAUGAUGGAUCAAUUUCAUGGUAAAAUUAGAAAAUGCGUAUGAGCUUAUUAGUACCACUAUGUGUAGUAAUUCCAUCAUUCUCAUUUUGCAUUUGCCAGUUUCCAGUGUAUCGCAUCCCCAGUAACGUAUACCUAAUCGGUCAUCAUAUUUACCAGCAGGCCUUAUCUCUGGCCAAACUCAUUUAAUUUUUACUUCUGCUGCAUACUUAUAUGCACCCCUAUCACUGGAAAGAUAUUAAAAUUCUGAUGUUCCAACAUUUCCCUUGUGAAUGAGUUGAAAAGACAGAGUUUAUCCACCUGUAAAAUUGUUUAUCAAUUAUUUAUGUGUAAGCCCUUGUGAACUGAUUCGCUGCUCUUAACAAGUUAAAAAGGGCCAGCUUCUUUCAGGUAGUGUACUUUGGGGCUAGGAUGUACCUUGGUUCAGUGGGGUCUGCUUCUGUGUUUUACCCUGAAGUUGGUAGUGAAACUUUUUUACUGCUUAAAAAUACCUUACCUUAAGUCUGUGUAUUUUAGGGAGCUAAUUUAGCUACCAGUACAAGACAGCUUACUUUAAAAUUGCAGCUUUGAAAAGAUUAUUACUGAAUUUCUUUUAACUCACGUUAUCUUGGAUUUUUUUCACCCAUAAAACUAAGCCACAUAAUGAAUAGUACAGCUCUGUGAGCAUUAUCCUAUUGCUAGCAUUGAACUGCAUUUUGCAAUGUUUUUUGCUAGUCUUAUCAGAUGCAAUAUUGAUUUCCAAACCUUUCUUUGUGAACUAAGUCUGAGCUGAAACUGGAA
Molecule: non-coding RNA, 2311 nt
Organism: Anas platyrhynchos (mallard)
Lineage: Eukaryota; Metazoa; Chordata; Aves; Anseriformes; Anatidae
Source: RefSeq, a predicted model, not a curated record